Molecule: long non-coding RNA, 510 nt
Organism: Apteryx rowi (Okarito brown kiwi)
Lineage: Eukaryota; Metazoa; Chordata; Aves; Apterygiformes; Apterygidae
Source: Ensembl
AUCUGUUGUCUUUUUUUUUUUUUUUUCCUGCCUCUACUAGUGUUCCAUGCAAAAGGGAAUUUUUAGUUCUGAGGAUGGGAAAAAAUGCAGUGAUAUACUUCUGACCACUGCCUACAUAUAAACUGCAUUUCUACGUGAAAAUCUCAGAGGAAGACACUGCUGUUCAGAUAUAAUUAAUGGUGGACUGAAAUCAGCAUCUUCGUUUCAAGACCCGGGAACAAUAUAUUAUACAUCCGUUUUGCAACAAGGGUUGUUAAAAUAAUGCCUAAGGUAGCAUAACUUAAUCUGAAAGAGAAAUACAGAAACCCUGAAAUCAAGCAUAAUUUCUCUCCUGUAAAUCUCCUGCUAGUAGAUCCUGUCAGCUCAAAUGUCUCUCAAAGUCACCCUGAAAAGACUGCAACCACAGCUGAAUACAAGCACUUUUUCAGAAUCAUAUGCAAGGUAAUGUUUUUGUUCUUUGCUCUUUACUUUGCCAUGAUUAGACUCCCUAUAGAUAGAACUGAGACAGAA